Molecule: microRNA precursor, 85 nt
Filed under: Bombyx mori (domestic silkworm)
Lineage: Eukaryota; Metazoa; Arthropoda; Insecta; Lepidoptera; Bombycidae
Description: mir-2807 microRNA precursor family
Rfam family: mir-2807 microRNA precursor family
Source: Rfam by way of RNAcentral
UUAACUCAAUUUUGUAUGGAGUUGGAUCGUUUGCCUACGUUUGCCACUAGGGGGCGCUGUUCGAACUCCGUACAAAUUUGUGUUA